CCGAGUUUACAACUCCCAAACCCCUGUGAACAUACCACUUGUUGCCUCGGCGGAUCACCGCGCCCCGUGAAACGGGCCGGCCCGCCAGAGGACCCCAAACUCAAAUGUUUUAUUGUAUCUUCUGAGUAAAAAAAACACAAAUAAAUCA
RNAcentral lists this unclassified non-coding RNA (148 nucleotides) under uncultured Fusarium. RNAcentral's name for it is "sequence contains ITS1". The record is from RNAcentral. Lineage: Eukaryota; Fungi; Ascomycota; Sordariomycetes; Hypocreales; Nectriaceae.